UUCCUUAUGCUGUGCUGCUUUAG
Molecule: non-coding RNA, 23 nt
Filed under: Cricetulus griseus (Chinese hamster)
Lineage: Eukaryota; Metazoa; Chordata; Mammalia; Rodentia; Cricetidae
Source: RNAcentral